RNAcentral lists this long non-coding RNA (2051 nucleotides) under Homo sapiens (human). RNAcentral's name for it is "HSALNT0392355". Lineage: Eukaryota; Metazoa; Chordata; Mammalia; Primates; Hominidae. The record is from RNAcentral.
AUCCUUGGAGAGGCCCGGGCAAGGCAAGCGCAUCAUUCCGCACGCCUCGCACCCAGCCUUUGCUCGGCGAUGCGCCUCAGCCCUGGCCCGGGUACCCCGAACCCUGGGGUCUUUCUGGAUAUUGCCCUGCCUCGAGCCCAGAUGCUGGAAUCCUAAUACAGAACCCAGAACCCAUCUCUCCGUCCAAAUCAAUGAUCAGCGGCCCCCCAGAGCUAAUGUUCCUGGGCGGGGCUCGGAGAAGGCAGCUUCGCAGGCAGAACGCGCGCUCCUCGCUGCCCCAGGCGCCGCUGGUACGAACCCUCCCCUACCCAGGGCUCAUCCACAGCCUGGCACAUCGGUCCGCGACUCUGGGGCUGCCUCCGGGAACCUGGGCCGCGCCUGCCGGUUAGAAACCCGGGGUUAAGAAAAAAGCCAAGGUUCCUCCAUCCCGGGCCAGGCAGGGCUGCUCUCCCGGUCCUGCCUGCCUGCUGGCUUUCCCUUCCUCCUCCUUUGCGCCUGUUUUUCCCCCUCCUUCGCAGUCUCGUCCUUGUUCUUCCCUCUCUUAAGUCGCUUUUCCUCAAUCACACCGGGCCAACACCCUCCCCACCGCACGCCCCCCAAGACAGCCUGGGAUUCAAAAUGCAGUUGGAACACGGAUCACUUGAAAGAAAGCUCUUCAGGGGAAAGAAUUGGAAUGAAAUGAAAAGAAAGGGUGGAGGAGAGAGAGAGACCCCACCCGGAUAGUCCAGAACAAGCAGUAACAAAGCAAAGUCCGAGGGAGCUUCACGCUCAACCCCCGGCCAGGCUCCAGAGCUGAAGUUCUCCUAACUCGUCCCAAGAAUAGGUAAAAGAAACCAAGCUAGGGGCCGUGCCCUGCCCCCAUCCUGUGGGCCGGGUUGGGGGAGGGGGGGUUCUCCAGCGGCCAGAAGCUCACUGGCUCUACCCGGGACCCUGAGCUGCCUAGGGCUGGGGGAGGCGUCCGAGCAGUCGCGGAGCCUGCCAGACCCUCGGCUAGAAUGGGGACCCGCUGUCCAGCCGAGGCUGGCGGAGGCGCACCGGGGGCGCAGAGGGCGAUGCUAGUAGUCUGGACCCAAAGGACUGCAGGAAGGAGACCGUGAGGAAGCGUCUGUGCCUGGGAAGCCCCAGCUCCUGCUUGGGCCAGGCAGCCAGCACCUACCUGAUCCCGGGGAACCGGAGUCCGGCGGCGGCAGGUGAGCUGUAGACGCUGCUGUGCAUGAUUAUCCCAUAGACCAGCAGGGCCAGCCUCGCUCCGCUACACAUGGUCAUUCUGCGCAGGAUGGGAAAGAGGACACACAGCUGUGAGAACGCCCCUGGCCUCCCACCCUCCAACCCCAAAAAGCUCUGGAAGCCGGGGGAGGGACGGAGCGAAGCCCCGGCUCCCUGAGUUGAACAGCACUUGGCGACAGCCGGUGCGCGCCCUGCCACUUCUUGCUUGCUAUAGUUAGAAAAAAAUAUAUAUAUAUGCAUCUACCCGGCGCCCAAUAACUAGCCAGACCCGGCUGAAGGAAAGCUAACUCCCCUGACGCGAUGCCAAGCGAAAGAAUCAGCAGUCGAGUGAGCCGGUCGCUUUGGUAAGAUUUUCCCUCCCUUACCCUUCAACUCCUCCCGCUGCCAGGAGAGCUGCCAGGUAGGACGGCGGGCAAAGCGCUUCUUCAAGUUCCUGCGCUGGAGUCACCACCCGAGAGGCAUCGCCGUCUGGCGUUGGUGUCUGAGCAGAAGCCGCAGGAACCAGCGGGAGCAGCAGGAGGAGCUGCGGGACUCGUUUGCCGAGUCACGUAAUGAUCGGGUAUCAGAAAAAGACGUCAGCAUCCUAGUCCCUCAAGGAACAUAUUAACUAUUCUGUGCUGUCCUCUUGGAUGAUAAGAUCCGGAGUCAUCGACUUCUCAUAAACACCUUUCACUCAUACAAUCCAAUUUUUAAGAAGUCCAAUUGUUUUGAUGGUUUUCAAUUUCACCCGUUUCUCAAGGACAGCCUCACCAAUCAGAGCUCUGGUCUCUGGAAUUAAGCAUCAUCAAGCUCUCCUAUUAAUAAAUUUAAUUUAGAUCUCCUAA